Long non-coding RNA from Felis catus (domestic cat), 585 nucleotides. RefSeq lists it as uncharacterized. The record is from RefSeq and is a predicted model, not a curated record. NCBI's taxonomy places the organism in Eukaryota, Metazoa, Chordata, Mammalia, Carnivora, Felidae. The transcript is spliced from 3 exons.
GGGGAGGGGAUGGGGCGGGAGCCUCUGGAACACAUGUGCUAACUUAGGCCGCCUUUGUCUACACAACAAACACAAAAGCUGGGCUCUCGGCAGCGAGGAGAAUUCCAGCUCCCGAAACGGUGACCUCAAGACUCAUUCCGCGGAUGGCGAAUAGCUUAAUAUCACCUGGGGAGAGCAUACAUCCCACAUCAACCGGAGGCAAGAGAGGACAUUGCUUGGAAGGUCCCGUUUGGUUUGUGUAGCAACUGUCUUCAGAAGGCCCAGGAGAAGACAAGAACAGCCACCCACAGAGGACAGCUUGGUAAAUGGUCACUCACUCUGGAUGAAGCUAUGUUGUGAGCAGCCCUAUGGAGAGGCCCCUAAGGCAAGGAACUGAGGUCUCUUGCCCACAGCUGUGUGAGGCUGUCAUCUUGGAAGUGGACCCUUCAGCCCUGGCCAAGCUUUCAGAGUCGGCAGCCCCAGCAGACAGUCUGACUGUGACCUCAUGAGAGACCCUGAGCUGGAACCAUCCAGCUGAGCCGGUCCUAGAUUCCUCACCCAGAGACACUGUGAGAUAAUAAAUGUAUGUUGCUGUAAGCCAGUAAA